Molecule: ribosomal RNA, 253 nt
Filed under: uncultured bacterium
Lineage: Bacteria
Description: partial 16S ribosomal RNA
Rfam family: Bacterial small subunit ribosomal RNA
Source: RNAcentral
UACGUAGGCAGCAAGCGUUGUUCGGAGUUACUGGGCGUAAAGGGUGUGUAGGCGGUUUUUUUUGUUUGGUGUGAAAUCUCCCGGCUUAACCGGGAGGGUGCGCCGAAUAAUGAGGGACUAGAGUACGGGAGAGGAAAGCGGAAUUCCUGGUGUAGCGGUGAAAUGCGUAGAUAUCAGGAGGAACACCGGUGGUGGAGACGGCUUUCUGGACCGUAACUGACGCUGAGACACGAAAGCGUGGGUAGCAAACAGG